Molecule: unclassified non-coding RNA, 297 nt
Filed under: Zea mays
Lineage: Eukaryota; Viridiplantae; Streptophyta; Magnoliopsida; Poales; Poaceae
Description: misc RNA Zm00001eb377340
Source: RNAcentral
AGUUUCCUGCACGGGAUCCGGCGGCGGCCCUGGGCAAAUGGGCGGCCGAGAUCAGAGACCCUAGCAAGGGCGUCCGCGUCUGGCUCGGCACUUACAGCACCGUACGACGCCGAGGCUCGCAGGAUACGCGGGAAGAAAGCCAAGGUCAAUUUCCGGGAUGAAGCGGCGGCAGCAGGUGCUCAGAAGCCAGCCGCAACCGCAACUACUCCAACUGCUUGUGCCAGCGCAGCGAGGCUAGGUCCUCCACCGCCGAAGUUCCGUGCUGACGAGGUUUUCGGGAACAUGAACGGUGGCAGC